UACGGAGGGUGCAAGCGUUGUCCGGAAUCACUGGGCGUAAAGGGCGCGUAGGCGGCUCAUGAAGGCUGUGGUGAAAGUCCGGGGCUCAACCUCGGAUCGGCCGUGGCGACUCGUGGGCUGGAGCACUGUAGAGGCGGGUGGAAUUCCGGGUGUAGCGGUGGAAUGCGUAGAGAUCCGGAGGAACACCGAAGGCGAAGGCAGUGUCCUGGGGAGUACCUGACGCUCAGGUGCGAAAGCCAGGGGAGCGAACGGG
This 253-nucleotide ribosomal RNA is filed under the name uncultured bacterium. Its description in RNAcentral is "partial 16S ribosomal RNA". It matches the Rfam family "Bacterial small subunit ribosomal RNA", at positions 524 to 776 of the family's 1533-position model. The record is from RNAcentral.